UACGAAGUGUGCAAGCGUUACUCGGAAUUACUGGGCGUGAAGCGUGCGUAGGUGGUUCGUUAAGUCUGAUGUGAAAGCCCUGGGCUCAACCUGGGAAUGGCAUUGGAUACUGGCGACCUAGAGUGCGGUAGAGGGGUGUGGAAUUCCCGGUGUAGCAGUGAAAUGCGUAGAUAUCGGGAGGAAUACCAGUGGCGAAGGCGGCUUCUUGGCCUGUUCUUGACGCUGAGGCGCGAAAGCUGGGGGAGCAAACGGG
Molecule: ribosomal RNA, 253 nt
Filed under: uncultured bacterium
Lineage: Bacteria
Description: partial 16S ribosomal RNA
Rfam family: Bacterial small subunit ribosomal RNA
Source: RNAcentral